UACGUAGGGCGCAAGCGUUAUCCGGAAUUAUUGGGCGUAAAGCGCGCGCAGGCGGUCCUUUAAGUCUGAUGUGAAAGCCCACGGCUGAACCGUGGAGGGUCAUGGGAAACUGGAGGACUUGAGUACAGAAGAGGAAAGUGGAAUUCCACGCGUAGCGGUGAAAUGCGUAGAGAUGUGGAGGAACACCAGUGGCGAAGGCGACUCUCUGGUCGGUUUCUGACGCUGAGGUGCGAAAGCGUGGGUAGCAGACAGA
This 253-nucleotide unclassified non-coding RNA is filed under the name uncultured Caryophanales bacterium. RNAcentral describes it as "uncultured Bacillales bacterium contains 16S-23S intergenic spacer region". It matches the Rfam family "Bacterial small subunit ribosomal RNA", at positions 524 to 776 of the family's 1533-position model. Lineage: Bacteria; Bacillati; Bacillota; Bacilli; Caryophanales. The record is from RNAcentral.